Oreochromis niloticus (Nile tilapia) is the source of this 1245-nucleotide long non-coding RNA. RefSeq lists it as uncharacterized. The transcript has 3 exons. The record is from RefSeq and is a predicted model, not a curated record. Lineage: Eukaryota; Metazoa; Chordata; Actinopteri; Cichliformes; Cichlidae.
GGAGAAAACAAACCGCAAGCAAACGGCCGUGACCGCUAGCUGAUGUCACCCCUUCUCUUUUAGCUGUUCGUUAAUGAAUCAGACUCCUCAAUUUGACUUUGUGACCUUUGGCAGAUACCCUGGCUUAGGGUUGGAAACCAGUGGCCUAAACUCUGCAGCGGUAUAUAAAGCCAUCCCCUUGAAGUCUCUGUUCUUUUAAAAAUGUUGUUGUUCUCUGUGAGGCCCUGGCGGCGCACCUUGUCACUCUGGAUUUGAAAUAUGAGAUUGUUUAUACCCUCAUUACACUGCUGCUACAGUGUAAUAAGCUAGAAUUAAGCUACAGUCAAAUGGGAUCGCUGAAACUGUGUGUGGAGAGGAAUAAUAAAGUGCAGACUGGGCACGCCAUGAGCAAAUAAAUCCUUCAAAACUCUAUUCUGUGGGCUCUAUAACAGAAGUUAUGUUAAUAUUUAACACAGAGACUCUGAGAACAUGAGUCAGUGUCAUUCUCUCACAAGAAUUUUCCAGCUUGACGAUUAACUCACGAUGAAAACCAGGCCUAUCGCAAGAUAUGAAAUAUGAUCAGUGUGUGUGUGUGUGUAAUAGAAGGGGAGGAGGGGUGUGGCUGAGUAGGUGUUGAACUAUUGACAGCUGCAGUGCAGAUAUCCCCACUUGUCCCAAGUUAGAGGAAUCUCACAAUUCAGCACCACACCCCUUCUGAAUCUGUGAGACCCAUCUGCCACCCCGAAUUAAACCCCACCUCCACUCCUCUUACAGCAAACCCUCUCACCCCUUAAUGCCUCUUCUCCUUUUGUCUUUCAUUGGCUCUCUUCUCCCAAGUUCUUUGUGUUGUGAUCCAUAUUUUCCAGUAGCCUCUGCCAUUUCAUUCAUGCCUCCUUCAGCUUAAUUCUUCCCUUGUCUCACACUUCACUCCUCUCCUCCUCUCCUUUGAAUUCUUCAACAUGAUGCAGUCCAACGCCACUUUUGUAGCCUGUCAUGCCCUGCUGUUUGUCCUGUGUAAGAGGUGUACUGCAGCAUCACUGCCUCUGCACCUCACCUCACUGUCUCAUGUCUCAAAAUGACUUUAAAGCCUGUAGCCCUUCACUAGCAUUUCAGAGAUAUUCAGGCUUUUUAAACCCGAUGGGACUCUUUAAACCACAAAGUGGCAUUCUCAAUGAGUAUCAGGCCAAUCAAUAUUUACAAAUUCAGAGAUCUCAUUCCUCUAUCUCUCUUCUCUCAGCAUUAUACUCAAGUGUAAUACUGCAGUGA